Molecule: ribosomal RNA, 1305 nt
Filed under: Triticum aestivum (bread wheat)
Lineage: Eukaryota; Viridiplantae; Streptophyta; Magnoliopsida; Poales; Poaceae
Description: partial small subunit ribosomal RNA
Source: RNAcentral
AUGUUGCUGCCAGUCAUUCACAAGGUUGAUCGUCACCUCUCUGGAUGGUUAGCUACUUUCUUAUCCUUAGGAGGGCGGCUGACACUCAUUAAUUUGGUUCUUGCGGGUAUUUCGAGUUAUUUCAUGUCCUGUUUUGCCUGGCCUAUGGAGUCUCUUGGAAAGUUGGAAUGUCUGCUGCGUGCUUUCUUAUGGCAAGGCAAGAACAAGGUUAAAGGCGGCCAAUGUUUAGUAGCUUGGGACACGGUCUCUCUACCUCGCAUUAAUGGUGGUUUGGAUGUACGACAGUUGCAAGCCCACAAUCAAGCUAUGAUGUGCAAGUUUGUUUCCAAGAUCUUACAAAGCUCUGACAUACCAUGUUAUGAAUGGUUCGCCACACAUUACUGCCAGCCUGCUGUUCCUCAAGGUGCCCUCUACAGAGAUACGGCAAUCUGGAAAGGGUUAAAGGAUCUUAUUCCUUUGGUUAUCAACUCCUCUCGGUGUGUUGUGGGGCCUGGCACUCUGGUGUCCUUCUGGAAGGAUCAGUGGCUGGAAGUGGGUCGUCUUUGUCUGCUGUACCCCACGUUGUUUUCCUUCGCGUCUCAUCCAGCUUGCUCUGUCAACUCACAAUAUGCCAACGGAUCAUGGGUAAUACAACUACAUCCUAACCUUUCUCAAACAGCUUCGGCUGAGCUGAUGGCCUUGCAUGAGCGGUUAUCAGAUGUUGCUCCCAAUCUGCUGAAUAAUGACAAGCGCAUCCCUUUCUUGGGCUCUGGCAAGCUUAGUACAAGACAUUUCUAUAAUCUGCUCACUUUCCGGGGGGUUUUGGCGACUUUUGAGCCCUGGGUUUGGGAUUCUUUGAUUCCUCUAAAGCAUAGGAUCUUCCUCUGGCUUGCCUUCAAAGGUUGUCUCAACACCAGGGAUAAUAUGGUUAAGAAGGGCUGGUCUGUGGUGGCCCCGUUUGCUCAUUGUGAUGCCUGUCCUGCUGUGGAGUCCGUUGAUCACCUUUUUCUUCGGUGUGCCCCAGCAUCCUUUCUUUGGGGUAAGAUGGCGCUGGAUGCGUUGGCUUGCUCUGCUCCUGACAUUCUAGCUUUUGUAGAACAAGCACAACAACAGCUCAGCUUCAAACGCAAGUGGAAUAUUGCUUUCGCAGCAUGUGCUCUCACCCUAUGGCAUGCUAGGAAUGACCGGGUAUUCAACUCGAAGGUUUGGACUGCGAACUACACUCGUUUCUAUGCAGCAAACAUGUUAAAUCUCUGGAGUAAUAGAGCCCAUAAUCAGCUAGCAAAGGAUGAUAUACAGCUAUGGUGCCAGAAAAUAACCACUUAG